AUGGGCCCCAGGCCCCUGUGCUGUGGGGCCCUUUGCCUCCUGGGAGCAGGUGCCUUAGACACGGCAGUUCUGCAGACUCCAAAAUAUCUCACCACACAGAUGGGAACUAAGAAGCCCCUGAAAUGUGAACAAAAGCUGAACCAUGAUAGUAUGCACUGGUAUAAGCAGGGCUCCAAGCAAUUGCUGAAGAUUAUGUUUGUCUACAGUAAUAAGGUACUCAUUCUCAGCGAAACAGUGCCAAGUCGUUUCUCACCAGAAUCUCCUGACAAAGCUCAUUUAAACUUUCACAUCAACUCCUUGGAGCCAGGCGACUCUGCCGUGUGUUUCUGUGCCGGCAGCUAA
This is a non-coding RNA of Balaenoptera ricei (Rice's whale), 342 nucleotides long. The record is from the annotation of a RefSeq genome assembly. Lineage: Eukaryota; Metazoa; Chordata; Mammalia; Artiodactyla; Balaenopteridae.